Non-coding RNA from Callorhinus ursinus (northern fur seal), 634 nucleotides. The record is from RefSeq and is a predicted model, not a curated record. NCBI's taxonomy places the organism in Eukaryota, Metazoa, Chordata, Mammalia, Carnivora, Otariidae.
UCUUGCCCCGGCGAGCGAGAGAGUCUUGGGAAGCUGACUUGGACUAUGUCUCUAUCCUGGCAAGAGAGCAGUUUUGCCAGCAGGGAGUGAAUUCCUGGGAAAACUGCAUUUCCAGCUGCAAAUGAAUAAACUGACGAUCCUGUUGAUGAAGCAAACCCAAGCAAACAGCAAGAUGGCAAAGGGGACCCUCCCACCCUCAGCUUCUGUGGAUACUCCACUGGGCAAGACAAUGACAACCCACUCAAGCCUCAUGAGGCCACGUGAUUCAGAAUGAUCUAGACUGAAUUGUUGAUAUAGAUUCAUGAUCACCAAAGGACCUUCCCGUGGGUCACACAUCCCACUGCCACAAGGCAGAGAGUGAUUUGCCCUCCGAGUUAAGGAAGAAGAGAUCCAGGCAUAGAGGGGCUGCUCUGCUCAGGGUCGCCAGAGAGGGAAGCUGCUGAGCCGCCCCCCACCCCCCGCCCCCCCCCAUCUCAGCCUCGGGACCUAAGCUCUGUCCACAGGAGCUCGUGCAUUUCCCAAUCCCUGCUCACCAGAGCCCCGGCAGCCUCUACUAGAUGCAUGGCCACAUUCCAGACUCGCCCUUUGGGAGGGAAGUUUGUUUCUGGGAAUGCUCUCUUAAGACACUGGUGUA